UACGGAGGGUGCGAGCGUUGUCCGGAAUCACUGGGCGUAAAGGGCGCGUAGGUGGCGCCGCAAGUCAACGGUGAAAGCUCGGCGCUCAACGCCGAGUCGGCCGUCGAGACUGCGGGGCUGGAGCACUGUAGAGGCUCAUGGAAUUCCGGGUGUAGCGGUGGAAUGCGUAGAGAUCCGGAAGAACACCGGUGGCGAAGGCGGUGAGCUGGGCAGUUGCUGACACUGAGGCGCGACAGCGUGGGGAGCAAACAGG
This 253-nucleotide ribosomal RNA is filed under the name uncultured bacterium. RNAcentral describes it as "partial 16S ribosomal RNA". It matches the Rfam family "Bacterial small subunit ribosomal RNA", at positions 524 to 776 of the family's 1533-position model. The record is from RNAcentral.